AAGUCGUAACAAGGUUUCCGUAGGUGAACCUGCGGAAGGAUCAUUAUCGAGUUUUGACUGGGUUGUAGCUGGCCUUCCGAGGCAUGUGCACGCCCUGCUCAUCCACUCUACACCUGUGCACUUACUGUGGGUUUCAGAUGUUAUUAGCGGGGCCUUUGCGGGUCUCGUGAAAGCGUCUGUGCCUGCGUUUAUUACAAACUCUUACAAGUAACAGAAUGUGUAUUGCGAUGUAACGCAUUUAAAUACAACUUUCAGCAACGGAUCUCUUGGCUCUC
RNAcentral lists this unclassified non-coding RNA (275 nucleotides) under Truncatoporia pyricola. RNAcentral's name for it is "Perenniporia pyricola partial internal transcribed spacer region". The stretch from base 1 to 46 matches the Rfam family "Eukaryotic small subunit ribosomal RNA", at positions 1786 to 1831 of the family's 1831-position model. The record is from RNAcentral. Lineage: Eukaryota; Fungi; Basidiomycota; Agaricomycetes; Polyporales; Polyporaceae.